This 646-nucleotide ribosomal RNA is filed under the name Paraboea glabrescens. RNAcentral describes it as "eukaryotic LSU rRNA". The stretch from base 241 to 396 matches the Rfam family "5.8S ribosomal RNA". The record is from RNAcentral. Lineage: Eukaryota; Viridiplantae; Streptophyta; Magnoliopsida; Lamiales; Gesneriaceae.
UCGAAUCCGAAAAGCAGACCCGAGAACAUGUUUGAAUGAAUCCGUGGACAUGAUGUCGGAUGCCUCUGCGUCCGACAUGGUGGCCCGCGACCCACCCCAGACGGCUCUAGUCGCUUGGGCGUGUGCUCUAACUAACCUCUCGGCGCGGCAAGCGCCAAGGAAAACCAAACGGAUCGCCUCUCCCCGUGCGGGUGGUACCCGACACGUGGGUGGGGGAGCAUCUAUCGAAAUAGUCGUAACGACUCUCGGCAACGGAUAUCUCGGCUCUCGCAUCGAUGAAGAACGUAGCGAAAUGCGAUACUUGGUGUGAAUUGCAGAAUCCCGUGAACCAUCGAGUCUUUGAACGCAAGUUGCGCCCGAAGCCAUCAGGCCGAGGGCACGUCUGCCUGGGCGUCACGCAACUCGUCGCCCCCCAACAUCGUCCUCCCCGCAUGCACACGUGCGUGCUGUCGGGAGCGAUGCAUGAGGAGUGGGGGUGGAAAUUGGCCUCCCGUCACCGGAGUGUGGCGGCCGGCCCAAAUAGGAAAGCCGUGGCGAUGGAUGUCGCACGAUACGUGGUGGUUGGAUCGCUCAACACGAAAACUGUCGCGCGGGACCAUCGGCCCACCGGCACGACCCAACGGCAUCGAAAGUGCCCACGACUGUA